UAAACUGCUUCUCCAAGAAGCAGUUGAUUACUUAAAAGCAACUUUUACAAAAGCAUAAGCACCUUAGUAUAUUUCUUCUUUAUGCAUUCUAACUUGAAUGAUACAAGAAAGUGUUACUUCCAUUGAAGGGUUGGAACCUUAAACAUUAAGUCAUCCCUACUGUGAAAGGAUAUUUUUGUCUUAAAACCACCAUUUGACAAUGCAGGGUUCCUAUUUCCAAAAUAAACUCUCCUUUUGCCUAAUAUUGUUCUGAGCUUUUGUCCACCAUAAAGUAAAUUUACUAGUUGCUGUUCUCUAUUAUACAACUUCUGUGCCAAUUGAUAACUUUGAUUGUAGGCCUUUGC
This 344-nucleotide long non-coding RNA is filed under the name Citrus x clementina. Its description in RNAcentral is "Citrus clementina (C. clementina) long non-coding RNA (CCLE_LNC005670)". Lineage: Eukaryota; Viridiplantae; Streptophyta; Magnoliopsida; Sapindales; Rutaceae. The record is from RNAcentral.